Paramuricea clavata is the source of this 5546-nucleotide non-coding RNA. Lineage: Eukaryota; Metazoa; Cnidaria; Anthozoa; Malacalcyonacea; Plexauridae. The record is from the annotation of a GenBank genome assembly.
CGCCUAAACCCAAGCAAUGGAGUGUGAUACAUUUAACAAGACUUAUGGAACUUGGUAAGUUAAAAGAACUCGAAAUCCAUUUUAAUGCAUCAAAGUGUCUUGUCUUCAGUUGAAGCACUAAAUGUCCGUUUAUAAGUUAAUUCUCGUCAAGAAGUGUAUACUUCCCAGUUAUUCUAGGUAUAAAACCAAAUGGCCCUGGGCCUGAUCUGAUUCUGAAUGUUAAAACUAGUCGUUGAGGCCAUGUAUUGCGUACUUAUAAAUAUAUUAUUGGCGUUAACAACAUCAAAAGGUUCCUUGCCCUUGUCAAAACUAGUGAAAAUAGUAGAUCAGUACUGUAUAAAGGAACACAAUUUCUUAAAUUAAUUUCUUUAUAUUUAUGCAAAACGUUGCAAUUGAUGUACUUCAGGAUUCUUUGUGCUGCAUUUCAUGAGAUGUUAUGAGUUGUUAUCGGUUUUAUUAAAAUACUAAUUUGCAACCGUCUAAAAUUUGUUUAUGAGCAGUUGAAAAAUUCGGCAACAAUCUGUCAUGCUCGCAUGUAUUUCGAAAUUCCCAAAUAACGUAUAGUGGACUAAAACAGUUGUGUUUAUGGUUUGCUAUGGUGUUCUUACGUGCCACCAUAUUACGUAGAGGUCGAUGUUUUGCAGGCUCUAAGGAUGACGCAGUAAUGGGACACUGGUUCCGAUUAACGGUCAAUCACUUAAACUCAAACCAUGAGAACGUAUUAAAGUUGGGCGGUAUUGAAAUUUCAAUACCGGUUGUAUUGAAAUUUCAAUACCGGUUCAGUAAAUGCAGUUUACACCCGUAGCGACUGUAGCGCAAAUGCACAAUCUACUUAACUCCCAUAUUUGGAGUUGUUUACGACAAAUGAAACGCUAAAAUACCGUGGACUUAGAUAGUUUCCAAAUUUUGGCUAAUUAACGAUGUUCUAUAAAAUGUUAAAAUCUAAUUUAGAUAAACUCCUAUUAGAUAAACUAAUGAUAGCCAUGAUACCGGUAUAUCUUACAGUAUACCGCCGAUAACGGUAUACCGGUAUAGCGUCAAAACCAACACCGCCAUACCGGUAUCAACUAAAUACUGUGAAUAACUAAGAAUACCGGUAUACCGCCCAACUUUAGAACGUAUCGAAACACAUAUAGCAAUAUGAUUACAUCAAGGUCACAUGGAACGACAUAGAGCGAAACCUUCUAUAUAUUCAAGUCAACAUGUUAGUAUAAGUUCAUAUAUAUUAACUAUAGGCCAUGCAAUAGCCUGGGUUUUAGCUUUUGAAUCGGCAAAUUAUUCGGUAUAUUUGAGACAUACAAUGUGUAUCAAAAACAGGUAAUCCAAAUUUGGUAUGUUAUUGUGCGUCUAUUACUGGGUGCAUGAACGUAAUUUUUGCAUAGUCAUAAAGAUCAGGGUAUGAGCUGUUGAAUGACGUGUUUUUUGGGUCAUUCUGAGCAAAACAGAACAAAUACGAGAGCGAUCAAAAUUGUCGGUCAAAAUCACAUAUUUUCACCUCCUUUGCCUAAUUAAAGCAGUGCACAACAAAAAAAACACACAAUUAAUCAGGAAUGUCUCAUGGCAACAAAGAGCUUAUAGCAUAAGAUUUUACCAAUAAUUAUUAGUAAUUAUGCAUACUCAGGUCGUUUGUUCAAGUGAAGUGCGUCAUCUUUCAGUCCUAGAUGGAGUAAAUUUUCAAUAAGUUUAGCCUCAAUUCCGAACGGUGAAAAUAUGGGACUUCGACUUGCAAUUUUUAUUAGGCUCAUACUUGCCCCGUUUUGCUUAUAAUGGCACAAAAAAUUGUCAUUCAACAGCUAAGACAUUGCUCUUUAAGACCAUGCAAAAAUUACGUCCAUAAACCACCAGUGUAUAAUUACCACACAAUGAAAGUUGAUUACCUGUUUUUGAUACACCCUGUAUUACUGCAGUUUUAUUUUAAUUGAUUUUCACCAGCUACAUGUAUUGACUGAUAGUGAUGCGUUUCUCUAUUAAUGAAGUGCAGUUUUUCGGUUGCUAUUAUGUAUAGCAAAGCAUCUCCAUUUUCGUCAAAUAUCUACAAAUGUUCUUUAAAAGAUAUUUUAAGAAACUAUAAUAAGACAUCAUACGAUUGGGAAAUUUCUUCAAAUAGAUAUUGUUACAAGGUAAAUAAGUAAUUAAUCGAAGUCUUUACAUUGCUCUUUUGCAACUGAAGGUGAGUGUAUAAAACGUGAAAAACACAUGUCAAUCAUUAUGGGGACUUGUACAAGAUUUUUUACAUUAUGAGCACUUCUCAACAAGUGUUCAUAACAUCAUUCGACUAUUUGGUGAACGCGUAUUUUAAAGCGGCAAUGUCACCCGCUGCGCAUCCGUUCUGCGCAUAGAUCAACUUGAAAAACUUCACCCAACUUUUUCAAGUUUAUCGAAUUUCAAUAUGGCGUCUGACCAGGGCACCAUGAGCCGAUGCACGGAGGUUGAAGGAAAAAUGCUGGUCGAAAAAAGGUGUUUUCGAGCCGAAAGGCGUACAGAAAGUUAUGGGAGAAAGAGCAAAGAGGAUCUAUUUAAGUGCUAAGAUAUUUGAUACGUUGCAAGAGGCCAUAUGAGCAUUCAAGUGACACACUGACUUUGCUGCACAUCUGUUGUCAUUAUUUGGAAUUUCGCAGCAGGUAGGUGGUUUACAAUAUGAUUUUCAAUAUAUUUUGAAGAGUAAACGAAACUAAUGUGCAAUGUAUUUUGCUUUGGUAUUUAAGGAAGUCAACGUCUGCAAAAAUACUGUCAAAACAGCGACGAAAUUCAUUAAUUCAAGCACAACUGAGUCUUCGACUACAAAUUUAUAGAACACAAUGAUUCUCAUGGUUGAAGAACAGGCAAACAUGAGCCAAGGUAUGAAAAUCACAUUCACUUUUAUAUAGGAUGCGCUUUGUAAUGGGAGUAAUAUUAAUAUUCAGUUUUAAAAUACGAUUUUGCAAGGUAUAUAGACAUAAAGAAAAAUUGUAUAAAAAAUUAUAAAAAGAAUUGGUUUAUUUUUAUAUAAUUUACAGCAUUGACCACAGGUGUUAGUGUUGUAUAAUAUUUCAUAUUUCCUGCUUUCAGAACCCCAAACAUCUACACCAUUAAAAAUAAAGGUCAGAUGACAAAACCCUUUCUCAUGUUGAGUCACCUGUACACAAACUACAAAGUCAUGAACCUUUCCAACAACAGAAGGACCAGGCAGUGGGAGGUAAAAGUUGAAAAAGGAUUCAAGUGCAUUACAGUUCUCAUUUCAAAGGUUAUCCAACGGGCAACGGAUUGACUGCAUGAUGGUGACUAUGUCACCCGCCAUGUUUCCUUAAAUGCAAUCGACCCAGGCCACAUUGCUUCCACUGUUGCACACCAGCAACAAAGGACAUACCAAAAGGAAAAAGCUGAUUUUCGCUAGAAAAUUUAUCAAAGGUUCAUGAAUAUCAUCGUUCUCUGUAACACAUAUAAACUCCAGUCACAAAUGAAUAUGUUAAAGUUUUAUUUUGAGGACUACACAAGAGGGGCAAACACGGUGAUUCAUUUUGCCCAAAUAUCCAUGCCGAGCCCAUGUGUGGACAUAAUCCAUACUCCUUAUUCCUCUUCUUAGACUUCUAAUUGCUAGUUUUCUCACUGUGUCUUCAUCCAGUGUAUGAAUAAAUGCCUGUGAAUUUAAUAAUGUAUUUUAUAAUAAAAUAAUGAAAUGACCAUGCAACAGCUUUACCAAUUUCUAACAUCAAAGCAAGAUAAUUGGCCUUAUAUGGGUUUAAGUCAUGCUAUUUGUUUCCAUCACAAAGCCUCGCUUUGGUAUCAAAGCAAAGCUUUUGGUGAGAACAACAAAAUGGCCUGAUACACGGUUUGCAUGCACAACCCCAUAUGCAUUGCAAUUAGCUUCAAUUAGAAGGUUAAGGGGUUGGUUAUUUUUAUUUACUAAAUAGCUAUUAUAGAAAAUGUUAGCAUAUUUCACUUAUAUAAAUAUAUAAUUAUGUUUCAUUUGGCUAAUAUUCAGGCAUCUGAAGUAGGAAAAAUCAGGUCAACAACAAUUUACCAUCGGCAAACAGAUCUACAGCAUGUUAAUUUGCCGCCCAGACAUGAUGUCCUGACAGGUUGGCAAUUCGCCUUUGCCGAAUUAUAUUUGCCGUCCUGAACAAAUAUACUGCUAUUUCCCAUUUGCGCCAUCACUUCCCAAUUAGACUUUAUCACCAUUCAACAGUUUCAACCAAAGUUAUUCAACUUAAAGAUGUGGUACAGUCCAAUCUGCAUAUGUGCACAUAGGAGCCCUCUUUUUAUUAUACAAACAGUUUAUUUAUGUUUUUAUUUCAUUUUAUGUUCUUAUUUUAUGUUCAUUUUAUGUUCUUAUGUUGAUUGUUGUGUCUUGAUAAUUUAUUAUACUCUAGAAUCAUGAAAAUAUAAGUUGUCAAAUAAAAUUCAAUAUUUUGGAUACUGAAAUGUAAACAAAACCUUUGUUUGCAUACGCAUUUGUUUACAUACGGACUGUACCGCAUCUUCAAACAUGUUUAAUAUACCUCAUUUUAAAUUUGUCAAUUUAACAUGUAUUAAUAGAAAUUCACAAACCUUGGCUUAAUAUCAUCGUUUUCUCAGUGUUGCCAGUUGCACGCUGUGUCAGGCCACGACGUACAUGCACUACAUGGUACUUUCGCCAACGUCAUUCUACAACAAAGUAGGAUAAACAGAAAUAUAAUGUGGUAUAAUAUGCAAACACAAAUAAAAGAUACCGUCAAGUACAUUUGAUUCGCAUACAUACCCUACUCUUGCAAGGAGACUGAGGAGUUUUGCGAUUUCCACACUUGACACUUGCAACGCUGGCAGAACACACAACGUUCUUUAAUCUUUGCCUUAAUACGCGGGCAACCUCGCUUACUGUUCUCUUUUCUUUUGGUGGCACAUGAAUUUUUACAACUAUAAUUGUCAACCUGUAUGAAAUGAAGCAAUUGUUUGGUCUUUUCCGGCAAUUUCCGCAGCUGAAAAUGUGAAUAUAUGCACAUUUUUAUAGUUGGAAUGUUGUGAUUCCGAGUGAUUCCGAUCCUUUCCGACAUAUUCCGAAAAUCGGUUUGUUAUGCGCAGAACGGAUGCGCAGCGGGUGACAUUGCUGCUUUAAUACUGCAGUAGUUUUUAGUUUCAAGCAGAAUCAGCUAUAGUGGAAGAAUUUUGCUUUAUGGCUUGUCAAUGAUAUUGUAAUAGAGCUGUGUCCAAAAAACCUAUUAAUGUAGUAUUAGUAUAUUUGGAAAGUCUCUGUGAAUUAUUUAAAUUAUUUGUAAUAAUUUGUAUCGUUUUAACCUAUCUUAUAAAAUCCCAAUUAAUAGAUGCAGAACAUGAUGACAGUUCAUUUAAGAUGUCAUUAAAAUUCUGAUUAUUUCUUCUUGCAGUUUUCAUUCCGAUGCAAUUUUUUGAAAUUGCUUCACCCAAGCAAUGGAGUGUGAUACAUUUAGCAAGACUCGUGGAAUUUUUUGAAAUCGCCUAACCCGAGCAAUGGAGUGUGAUACAUUUAAGAAGACUCGUGGAAGUUGGUAAGUUGAAUCAGCCUUGUCCUCGUCAAGGAUGAGAUCGUAAUGUAUUCUGACGUCAGCUGUCGA